This 387-nucleotide ribosomal RNA is filed under the name uncultured bacterium. RNAcentral's name for it is "bacterial SSU rRNA". It matches the Rfam family "Bacterial small subunit ribosomal RNA", at positions 494 to 873 of the family's 1533-position model. The record is from RNAcentral.
CGUGUCUCUAGUGCCAGCAGCCGCGGUAAUACGUAGGUGACAAGCGUUGUCCGGAUUUACUGGGUGUAAAGGGCGCGCAGGCGGGACAGCAAGUUCAGGAGUGAAAUACCCGGUGCUCAACAUCGGGGCUGCUUUUGAAACUGUUGUUCUUGAGUAGUCGGAGAGGAAAGUCGGAAUUCCCAGUGUAGCGGUGAAAUGCGUAGAUAUGGGAGGAACACCAGUGGCGAAGGCGGCUUUCUGGACGACAACUGACGCUGAGGACGCGAAAGGUGUGGGGANCGAAAACAGGAUUACGAUACCCUGGUAGUCCACACCGUAAAGAUGGAUACUAGGUGUAGGAGGUAUCGAUCCCUUNUGUGCCGGAGUAAACACAAUAAGUAUCCCACC